This 284-nucleotide ribosomal RNA is filed under the name uncultured bacterium. Its description in RNAcentral is "partial 16S ribosomal RNA". It matches the Rfam family "Bacterial small subunit ribosomal RNA", at positions 333 to 634 of the family's 1533-position model. The record is from RNAcentral.
UGCCGCCUACGGGGCGCAGCAGUGGGGGAUAUUGCACAAUGGGGGGAACCCUGAUGCAGCGACGCCGCGUGGUUGAAGAAGCGCCUCGGCGCGUAAAGCCCUGUCAGCAGGGAAGAAAAUGACGGUACCUGAAGAAGAAGCCCCGGCUAACUACGUGCCAGCAGCCGCGGUAAUACGUAGGGGGCAAGCGUUAUCCGGAUUUACUGGGUGUAAAGGGGGCGCAGACGGCGAUGCAAGCCAGGAGUGAAAGCCAGGGGCGCAACCCCGGGAGUGCACUUGGAACU